UGCAGGGGAGGAUACUCUAAAUUGAAGCAAUGUGAAUGCAGGGGAGGCUACUCCAAACUGGAGCAAGGUGACUGCUUGUGUUCAGCGUCCAGACGAGCACCCCUCUGACUUUUGUGCUCCACUGAUUUGUGAAGUUAGAAAGCAUGGUAAUUUGAAUCCUGAAACUGAUCAUGAAAAGGAGAUGGUUAAAAUGGUUUUCAUGUCACAAUAUGCGGAGAAUAUUGCAAAGAGAUUUAGAGAGCAUCCAGAUGAUAUGCAAGGGAAAAGUUUGUCUAAAGUAGUUAGCAUUGCUACUAGAAUGUUUAAUGGGAGAGA
This is a non-coding RNA of Chelonoidis abingdonii (Abingdon island giant tortoise), 315 nucleotides long. The record is from RefSeq and is a predicted model, not a curated record. NCBI's taxonomy places the organism in Eukaryota, Metazoa, Chordata, Testudines, Testudinidae.